This 440-nucleotide ribosomal RNA is filed under the name uncultured bacterium. RNAcentral describes it as "partial 16S ribosomal RNA". It matches the Rfam family "Bacterial small subunit ribosomal RNA", at positions 338 to 795 of the family's 1533-position model. The record is from RNAcentral.
CCUACGGGCGGUAGCAGUGGGGGAUAUUGCACAAUGGGAGGAACCCUGAUGCAGCGACGCCGCGUGGGUGAAGAAGCGCCUCGGCGCGUAAAGUCCUGUCAGCAGGGAAGAAAAUGACGGUACCUGAAGAAGAAGCCCCGGCUAACUACGUGCCAGCAGCCGCGGUAAUACGUAGGGGGCAAGCGUUAUCCGGAUUUACUGGGUGGAAAGGGGGCGGAGACGGCGAUGCAAGCCAGGAGGGAAAGCCCGGGGCCCAACCCCGGGACUGCCCUUGGAACUGCGUGGCUGGAGUGCAGGAGGGGCAGGCGGAAUUCCUGGUGUAGCGGUGAAAUGCGUAGAUAGCAGGAGGAACACCGGUGGCGAAGGCGGCCUGCUGGACUGCAACUGACGUUGAGGCCCGAAAGCGUGGGGAGCAAACAGGAUUAGAUACCCGUGUAGUC